GACCAGAGAACGAGAGCUAUAUCACAUUACAUGACCUGAAAGGUUGUAAACUUUCAGGAAGUGUUUUUAACAUCCUUUUCAACCUCAAUAAGUUUAUGGCCUUUGAAACUCGUGAUCCAUUUCUGAUUCGUCAGGAGCGUGAGAAUCCAACAUUGACGGAGUGGGAUCGCUUUGCACAUAGGGAAUAUAUUAGGCUUUCAAUGGAGGAAGACGUUGAAGAUGCCUCUAAUGGAAGUGCGGAAGUCUGGGAUGAAUCACUUGAGGCUCCAUUUUGAGGUUACUUAGGUUUUUGAAUGAACGCUUCAAAUUCUUCUAUGGAGAUGUGAGGCGGGAAACAGUAAACUCAAAGGAUCAUUCUUUCAAUGGUACGUGGCAGCUAUGAACUUUUUAAAGGGAAAGUCCAAGCUCAGUGAGGUGGAAUAUAUCUUUUCCAAUUGCCAGCAGAGAAAUUAUUAAGCCUUUGUUGUGUGCGUAUUGACAAACAAUGGAGGAACAUUACAAGGGAAGUGCUGGUUCAUGAUGCUAAAGUUACUGGAAAACAGAGAUAGUUACCCAGAGGUGAGAUUUUGAUUGUCCGGGUUGAAGUAGCUCAGAACAUUUAGUGCAUUUUUUAUUUAUCAAUUUGUAAGAUAU
Molecule: unclassified non-coding RNA, 633 nt
Filed under: Hevea brasiliensis (rubber tree)
Lineage: Eukaryota; Viridiplantae; Streptophyta; Magnoliopsida; Malpighiales; Euphorbiaceae
Source: RNAcentral